AAACCAGCACGUCAAGUGGUCAGGAUGAUUAUUGGGCCUAAAGCAUCCGUAGCCGGCUCUGUAAGUUUUCGGAUAAAUCUGUACGCUCAACGUACAGGCUGCCGGGAAUACUGCAGAGCUAGGGAGUGGGAGAGGUAGACGGUACUCGGGAGGAAGUGGUAAAAUGCUUUGAUCUCUCGAUGACCACCUGUGGCGAAGGCGGUCUACCAGAACACGUCCGACGGUGAGGGAUGAAAGCUGGGGGAGCAAACCGGAUUAGAAACCCGUGUAGUCC
RNAcentral lists this ribosomal RNA (274 nucleotides) under uncultured bacterium. Its description in RNAcentral is "partial 16S ribosomal RNA". It matches the Rfam family "Archaeal small subunit ribosomal RNA", at positions 473 to 747 of the family's 1478-position model. The record is from RNAcentral.